RNAcentral lists this long non-coding RNA (939 nucleotides) under Felis catus (domestic cat). Its description in RNAcentral is "lncRNA (ENSFCAG00000045409.2)". The record is from RNAcentral. Lineage: Eukaryota; Metazoa; Chordata; Mammalia; Carnivora; Felidae.
UGAGAACUUACUGAGGAAGUCGGGGCAGGAGUUCCAAGGAGAAAAGGGUCAAAAGACAAGAAGUGAUGGGAAUGGCAUCUUUCCCAUUGUGAGAGAGCCUGGCAGAGGGGCUGUACCCCCAUCUCAGAAGAGUGCAGCCAGUAUCUACUCAUCUCCGGGCUUCCUACCCAUUUAAACAGAAAGCUCAGUAUUCAGAGCUAAACAUCUGGCUUGACAGCAGGGAACACUCAGUUAAUGCAACUGAGAGAGAACAGAUGACUAAGUCCUAGAGCGAGAAGGGGACCCGGGGAACCUGAAAAAGAACAGCAAUUGAAAUUGAAUGAAAGAAACAGAGCCCGGGAAAGAGAUUUCAGAACAUGCUGCAAGACUGGAUACCUGGAUAUCUUAGACAUAAAUACUUGUGAAUUUUCUUUGUUGAACAGAAGAGGAUUAUUGGCUUUUUCUCUUCUCCCUCAUGCAUGAAGCCAUCUCUAGGUGGAGGUGUGUUUAUCAGCGAUUCUACAGCAGAAUGAAUUAAAUGUUGUCAAGAAAGAAUUACUGUUUGACAAAAAAAAAAUACAUGCUUCUCACUGUAACUGGGAUUUCUGGAUAUUGGACUCUGUAAGACUAACUGAACAUCUGGACAACUGAAAGCACCAGAGAAUUCAACCAGCCAGGAUGCAGCUGAACUAUAAUCACACACUAGAGUAACUGGUGCCUCAGGGAAUUUGUUGAAACUAGAAAACCAUUUGACAUAGGGGUGAGCAGUUUCUGCAUUCUUGGUCAGUGGAAUUUGUCCAUGAACCUGGAAUAACCUUGGUGUGGCUACUGUGGUGAUCUUACACAAUCAUUUUGUUGGAAACAAAUGUCUAGCCAUUGUUCUCAUAGAUGUAUUGAACCCAAUGUAGAUGUGUCUCACUGAAAUAUUAAAUUUUGUUUAGCAAUCUAAAUUGUGUUAGG